RNAcentral lists this ribosomal RNA (351 nucleotides) under Bifidobacterium angulatum DSM 20098 = JCM 7096. RNAcentral describes it as "bacterial SSU rRNA". It matches the Rfam family "Bacterial small subunit ribosomal RNA", at positions 162 to 525 of the family's 1533-position model. The record is from RNAcentral. Lineage: Bacteria; Bacillati; Actinomycetota; Actinomycetes; Bifidobacteriales; Bifidobacteriaceae.
GGUAAUGCCGGAUGCUCCAGUCCAUCGCAUGGUGGUCUGGGAAAGAUUUUAUCGGUAUGGGAUGGGGUCGCGUCCUAUGAGGUAGUCGGCGGGGUAACGGCCCACCGAGCCUACGAGGGGUAGCCGGCCUGAGAGGGCGACCGGCCACAUUGGGACUGAGAUACGGCCCAGACUCCUACGGGAGGCAGCAGUGGGGAAUAUUGCACAAUGGGCGCAAGCCUGAUGCAGCGACGCCGCGUGCGGGAUGACGGCCUUCGGGUUGUAAACCGCUUUUGUUGGGGAGCAAGCCUUCGGGUGAGUGUACCCUUCGAAUAAGCACCGGCUAACUACGUGCCAGCCGCCGCGGUAAUA